AAUUGCUCUGUUUUGUUUGAAUAGUCUGGCAUAUAAGACAAGAGAUUCUCUGAGAAUUUUGAUUGCCGAACUCCAAUCACAUAAUAACAGCACUACCAUAUUGAAAUCUCGUUUCAAUGAGAAAAUGUGAUGGUCAAGGCCGAGUAGAACAAAUGUGUGAUUAUGUGUACACUUGAAGUGGAGAUCCAGGUAUGAGGACAACAUCUGCCCCACACAAUAUUAGAGAUAAAUGUCCCACAUCGAAUAUUGAAAGGGAUCCCUAACAAUCUAUUAUUAUAAAGAAAUGUGCCUCUCUCCUUAUUAGGACACGUCAUCAAUUAGAAGCAGCAGAAGCCGACAUCUGUCCUACUCUCACGUAAGUCUCGCUGCCCUUUAUGUUUCUAAUGGGCUUUCAAAUGCAUGUGUAUUCUCUGGGCUUCAAAAUAUUAUGUUAGAUUGAAUAUUUACUUAAUAUGUCCCAAUAUUGUCCUUUGAGUCGCCUUCUAUUUCAAUACGGUAUCGGCGUUAGGGUUCUUCAUAAUCUGCAAAUCUGCUUACGUCUAGCGUUUAUAGAGAUUUUGGUUUCUCUGAGAGAGAUACUUCGUCGCUGUAAGAUGUGCGUAGGCGUUUCGUUUUUUUUUACUCACCCCAAUGUCGUUACAAGUUCAUUGAUUCAGCAUUGAUUCAACAUCAUUAAGUCUCGCUUUUCCCUCACGACCCACUACAACCACAAUUAUGCAUUUAAUGUCUCUUUAUCCUCUUCCAAGCGGUGGAUCUCAUCUAUAAAAAGAUUCUGAGAAGCCAAAAACGUUAAACACGGUGGCCAGUUGAUGGCGUGUACAUGAUUUUCAUGAUCCUAAGUCGACACUCAUGCCAGCCACCAUUGAUGGCCACUGUCUCGCCACCUUCCGACGCCGUGUCAAUGCCGGUUCUCUGUUGACAGUUAGCUGGUUCGAUGUGAUACGGUGCAAUCAUAGCUUCUGACUAACCUACUCUCCUCUAAUGAUUCAGUUUAUUAGUGAUUCAACCACUUCUGAUGAGAACCAAACCGGUCUCUCCAAUACCUGAAGAACGGUUUAGGUUACGGAAUCACGAUUAGCUUCAUGGCCUAGCCAAUACAAACACACAUAUUCCAGGUUCAUCCGCUUAAUAUCUGAUUCAUCCAAGAUUAAUUAUUGAAACCUAUAAAUAAUUGAGCGCUCCAUUGACUCUCAGACAUUAUUGGAGAACUCACUGAUGUGAAGAGUACAGUGAGUGAUAAGCCAUUCAUCACCACUUUCAUAACUGAUUAAAUAUACGCUGGCUAUUUCAUAUUAUGGUUUUUCUGUUGGCAGUGAGCCAGUGAUGUAUAUGUCAAGCAGUGGAGUUUCACUAUAUACUGGAAGGUUUUGGAGGUGAUCCAAGAGUUGUUGUCACGACUGACAUAAAAUAAUGAUGAUGAUAAUGGAGAUGACAUGCCUGGUGGCAAUUCAGUACUCUCUAAGGUUAAGGCAUACUGACGUUGACGAUGAAUUCAUCUCAGGUAACUAAAGUUGCUUUUAAAUCAAAAUGUUUGGGUUGAUGUUUCUUGGAAAAUUAUGCGAAUUUAUCACUCCAUUGAAGACAGGCAAACAGAGGCGCCCAUGGUUAGAUUCUAAAUAUCUCUCUAGGGAGACACUUGAAAAGUUCAGCUAUUCAUUCACCAACAAGUACAACUACAUGUAUUUUGUUGUCUGUCAUGCUUUUUUCUUUCUGUAAAAUGAACAAACAGAAUCGAGAAUAUAUAGAACUCUCCACCAAAUGAUGAAAGAGUCUAAUUAGAACAUUGCUAUUUACCGCAUCCACAUUUACGAUUUUCAAGUUUAUAUGAAACUUCCAUCUAUUGUAUCCUAUCUGACAUGACCUAUCUCAUACAGUAAUUGCAGCUUGAUUAGCUCGACAAACCCGGAUGCUCCGGCCAGCUACUAAUUCUUCUGAAAGUAUUCUCACUGCCCAUAACUCACCAAAAUUCUUUUACUUCCUCAGCUAAAACUCAAACAUUUAAAAGUUAUGGAAGAGGAAGAACUCACGCUUUACCAGACACAAAAAUGCAUGUACAUAACGACUAUACUUUUCAAGACUAACAACCAAAGUGACAACAAUCAUUAUCACCAAUAUACAUUCCAUUCGCAAUCAAAACACACCAAAUAUAUAUUAACACAUUAUAAAAAUUUGUUGAAUGAUAAAAAUUUGACUUUAGGUCCACGUGGGCUAUCAUAUUGUUUCCGUAUUUGGGUCCAUUUAUUUUGGCCCAUUAAAAAUUGACGUAUUAGUUCCUAACUGGAAACAUAAUAUCUUCUUCUUCUCAUCUUAGCUCUCUCCACCUUCAUCUUCACCACCGUAAACCAAACAUUGAAUAUCAAUCACCACGUCCACAAACCACCAUUGUAACUCUUCGUAUCAACAUAAUUCCAUGUAAUUAAGAUUGUGAUAACCUUAUACAGGCAUCGGAGAAGCUGAGAAGCCA
Long non-coding RNA from Brassica rapa (field mustard), 2464 nucleotides. RefSeq lists it as uncharacterized. The record is from RefSeq and is a predicted model, not a curated record. NCBI's taxonomy places the organism in Eukaryota, Viridiplantae, Streptophyta, Magnoliopsida, Brassicales, Brassicaceae.